CUAUGCGCCUUGCCAGCCCCGCUCAGAAACUUAAAUGUAAUUGACGGGGACCCGCACAAGCGGUGGAUGAUGUGGUUUUAAUUCGAUGCAACGCGAAAAACCUUACCCACCUUUGACAUGUACGGAAUCCUUUUAGAGAUAGAGGAGUGCUCGAAAGAGAACCGUAACACAGGUGCUGCAUGGCUGUCGUCAGCUCGUGUCGUGAGAUGUUGGGUUAAGUCCCGCAACGAGCGCAACCCUUGUCAUUAGUUGCUACAUUUAGUUGGGCACUCUAAUGAGACUGCCGGUGACAAACCGGAGGAAGGUGGGGAUGACGUCAAGUCCUCAUGGCCCUUAUAGGUGGGGCUACACACGUCAUACAAUGGAUGGUACAAAGGGUCGCCAACCCGCGAGGGGGAGCCAAUCCCAUAAAACCGAUCGUAGUCCGGAUCGCAGUCUGCAACUCGACUGCGUGAAGUCGGAAUCGCUAGUAAUCGUGAAUCAGAAUGUCACGGUGAAUACGUUCCCGGGCCUU
RNAcentral lists this ribosomal RNA (514 nucleotides) under uncultured Rhodoferax sp. RNAcentral describes it as "bacterial SSU rRNA". It matches the Rfam family "Bacterial small subunit ribosomal RNA", at positions 903 to 1382 of the family's 1533-position model. The record is from RNAcentral. Lineage: Bacteria; Pseudomonadati; Pseudomonadota; Betaproteobacteria; Burkholderiales; Comamonadaceae.